Molecule: RNA transcript, 4342 nt
Organism: Callithrix jacchus (white-tufted-ear marmoset)
Lineage: Eukaryota; Metazoa; Chordata; Mammalia; Primates; Cebidae
Gene name: keratin, type II cytoskeletal 8 pseudogene
Source: RefSeq, a predicted model, not a curated record
GAAUGUUAUUCUUACUUUUAAUUGUUUUCUGAAACCCUUAAAGUACGGAUCAGCAAAUUUCCUGUAAUAAGCCAAAGAGUAAAUAUUUAGGCUGUGUGGACUAUAUAUUCUACUACCGACUCUGCCAUUGUAUGUUGAAAGCGGCCAUAGACAAUAUGUAAAUGAAUGGGUGUGGCUGUGUUUCAGUAAAACUUUAUUUACCAAAAGUCUGUGAUCCUGGAUUAGCCCCUUGGCUGGAGUUUGCUGAUACCUGCAUUGAAGGAAAAUCUGAGAUGAAAACUCUUUACUUACUAAUAACUAUCUUUUAUCAACUUCAUUUAUAUGGUUGAUCAUAAUAUUCUUGUCAUUCUUGGUAAUAUUGAAUACAUAUAUUUUAAAAAAAUGCAUGAGUCACCUGAAAGGAAGGAGGUUGAGAAAUCAGAUAUAUGGCCUGAUGAACUGAAAUGAGACUAGCGAUCUUCUCUUGGAAAUCUUUAGGGUUAAGAAUUUGUGAUCUUCAGGUUUCAGUGAGUAGCCUGUUGGACUUAGUUCUCUGUGGAAAAACAGGCCUGAAGCAGUGGGAGUCUGCAGUUAACCUCCCAUCAUUUUCAGGGUCAAAGGUGGAUUCAUGCACCUCCAGCUGGCAGUGAGGUAUGGGCAAGCCAGGCCUCAGCCACUCACAGGGCCUCAGUUUUCCCAUUUGCACAGGGAGAAGGGAAGUUUCCACGGCCCUGUCGUGGUGAUGGGGUGGGUCGUCUGAAUCUGGGUCAGGUGAAGUCUAGGUGCUGCUAUACCUUCCCCUACCUGGGCUUUUGUUUCAUUUCAUUGUUACCUUUUAACCUUACCUGCUUUCCAAGAGAGGUUUUAUGUUUUCUUUUUUUUAGGGUCAGGGUCUUGUAGAGUGCAGUGGUACAAUUACAGCUCACUGCAGCCUCUAACUCCUGGGUUCAAGUGAUCCUCCCACCUUGUUUGUUUAUUUAUUUUAAUUAUUACUUUUUUUCAGACAGAGUCUCACUCUCACCCAGGCUGGAGUGCAGUGGCGUGAUCUCUGCUUACUGCAACCCCUGCCUCCUAGGUUCAAGCGAUUCUCCUGCUUUAGCCUCCCAAGUAGUUGGGGUUACAGGCAUGUGCCACCACUCCCUGCUAAUUUUUUGUAUUUUUAGUAGAGACAGAAUUUCACCGUGUUAGCCAGGAUGGUCUGAAUCUCUUGACCUCGUGAUCUACCCGCCUUGGCCUCCCAAAGUGCUGGGAUUACAAGCAUGAGUCAGUACGCCCGGCCUUUUUUUUUUUUUUUUUUUUUUUGGUAGAGACAUGGUCUUGUUAUAUUCUCCGGGCUGAACUCCUGGGCUCAUCUGCCUCAGUCUCCCAAAGUGCUGAGAUUACAGGCAUGACCCACUCCACCUGGCCAAGAUUUCAUAUUUUCUAAUUGCUUCACGUAUUGAAUGGAAAAUAAUAUGACAAUGAUAGCAGAAGUAAAGAAAGUCACAUGAGAGUCUACCACCUAAAACAUAACUUCCUUUUUCUUUGUUGUUGCCUGGUUUGGGCCUUAUGUAUUUGUUAUUGUUUCUCUUAAAGGAAAAAAAAGGGGAGAGACUGCUUAAACUGAUUGCAAUUAAAAAAAAGGAAUUAAAAAAAAGAACUUAUUAUCUUCUGCAUCAGAUUAUUCCACAGUAAAGUUGACUAGAAAUAAGAGAUAGUUGUUUGUGGUAAAGCAGAAUCAUUACUGUUUUAUUUAAUUCAAUUUCUCUGUGUUGGGUGGGUAGACUUCUUCAGAAGAAAUUUAAUAAACUAACUUUUUUUUUGGCCUUUUUGCUGCUAUGUUAAGCAACUAUGAAGUUUUUUUAACCUUUUCAUCACAGUACCAGUGCUCCAAAUGGUCACUUUGAUCAGAGUUCUUAACUUUAGUGUUUUUUAAAAGAAGUACAGUGAUCAAAAUUAGAUCCCCAUACUUGAAUAAAUUUGACUACUUAUUUAAUGAGAAUGUAAUUUAUAAAUUAUGUGCUGCAUAAAUAUGGUUUAUGUUAAUAAGUUUAUGCCUGAUAUUUAUUGAGGAGUAUAAAACCAUUUCUUUAGUUUUCUAGGUUGUAUUUUUUGCUCAUUCUGUCUAAAUUUUACUUAAAAAAUUAAAUCCUAGGAUUCUAGCAGUAGAUUACUUAUCCAAUAGUAAGGGCACAGCUAAACACUUAAAGUUAAGCAUAAAAACCUCUGCAUAUCCAAAAUGGAUAUACACUCUCUAAAGCCUGAGUGUAUGUAAUAGAGUAUGCAUAUUCUGGAUAUAAUAAAAGUGUUAUCAAAUCAGAACAGUGUUUAGAAACAGCUAAAGAAAGGAAGGGAAAAGGUAGGAAGCUAUUGUAAGCAAGUACAUAGGCAAGUAAGAUAUAAUAGAUGACUUUCUGAUAGACAGCAAUAAGAUUGAAAAGCCUUAGAAAGUGUUUACAUAUAGAAUUCCUCCAAAUCAUAACCCUUGUGACUACUACACAUAGCAAAAAUUGUUUUUAGAAUGCCAAAACACUGUGAAAUAAUUGAUAUCGAUUUCCAUGGGAGGUUUAAAUUGGAAGACAAGUGUGAAAUACAUUUAGAAGUUCUAUUGAGAAGAAGCAAUUUCUCCGCUCCUUCUGGAAUCUCUCCCUGGUUCAGCCCGCCUGCCUCCACUCCUGCCUCCACCAUGUCCAUCAGGGUGACCCAGAAGUCCUACAAGGUGUUCACCUCUGGCCCCGGGGCCUUCAGCAGCCGCUCCUUCACGAGUGGGCCCAGUGCCUGCUUGAGCUCCUCGAGCUUCUCCCGAGUGAGCAGCAGUGGCUUCCGGGGUGGCCUGGGUGCAGGCUAUGCUGGGGCCAGUGGCAUAGGCAUGGGAGGCAUCACUGCUGUCAACAUCAACCAGAGCCUGCUGAACCCCGUUAAGGUGGAUGUGGACCCCAACAUCCAGGCCGUGCGUAUCCAGGAGAAGGAGCAGAUCAAGACCCUCAACAACAAGUUUGCUUCCUUCAUCGACAAGGUGCAGUUCCUGGAGCAGCAGAACAAGAUGCUGGAGACCAAGUGGAGCCUCCUGCAGCAGCAGAAAACGGCUCGGAGCAACAGGGACAUCAUGUUUGAGAACUAUAUCAACAACCUGAGGCGGCAGCUGGAGACUCUGGGCCAGGAGAAGCUGAAGCUGGAGGCGGAGCUUGGCAACAUGCAGGGGCUGGUGGAGGACUUCAAGAACAAGUAUGAGGAAGAGAUCAAUAAGCGGACAGAGAUGGAGAAUGAAUUUGUCCUCAUCAAGAAGGAUGUAGAUGAAGCUUACAUGAACAAGGUAGAGCUGGAGUCUUGCCUGGAAGGACUGACUGACGAGAUCAACUUCCUCAGGCAGCUGUAUGAAGAGGAGAUCCAGGAGCUGCAGUCCCAGAUAUCUGACACAUCUGUGGUGCUGUCCAUGGACAACAGUGCUCCCUGGACAUGGACGGCAGCAUUGCUGAGGUCAAGGCGCAGUACGAGGAGAUUGCCAACUGCAGCCAGGCUGAGGCGGAGAGCGUAUACCAGAUCAAGUAUGAGGAGCUGCAGACGCUGGCUGGGAAGCACGGGCAUGACCUGCGGCAUAUGAAGACUGAGAUCUCCGAGAUGUACUGGAACAUCAGCCGGCUUCAGGCUGAGAUCGAGGGCCUCAAAGGCCAGAGGGCUUCCCUGGAGGCCGCCAUUGCAGAUGCUGAGCAUCGCGGGGAGCAGGCACUCAAGGAUGCUCAUGCCAAGCAGCAGGAGCUGGAGACCGCCCUGCAGUGGGCCAAGCAGGACAUGGCAAAGCAGCUGCGUGAGUAGCAGGAGCUGAUGAAUGUCAAACUGGCUCUGGACAUCGGGACCGCUACCUACCACAAGCUACUGGAGGGCGAGGAGAGCCGGCUGGAGUCUGGGAUACAGAACAUGAGUAUCCACACGAAGACCACCAGCGGCUAUACAGGUAGUCUGAGCUCUGCCUAUGGGUGCCUCACAAGCCCCGGCCUCAGCUACGGCCUGGGCUCCGGCUUUGGCUCUGUCACGGGCUCCAGCUCCUUCAGCCACACCAGCUCCACCAAGGCUGUGGUUGUGAAGAAGAUUGAGACCCGCGAUGGGAGGCUGGUGUCCGAGUCCUCUGACGUCCUGCCCAAGUGAACAGCUGCAACAGCCCCUCCCAGCCUGCCCCUCCUGAGGCUGCCCCAGAGCCCAGGAGGGAAGCUGCUGUGCAGGGGAGUGCAGGGAACAGGAGACCUACCUGACGCUCAGCCCUAGCCCUCAGCCCACCAGUGGGGAGUUUACUGCCUGGGGACCCCCCCUUGCCCAUGCCUCCAUCUGCAAAACAAUUCAAAUGCUUUUUUUUUUUUUUUUUGGUCCAAAAUAAAAUCUCAGCUAGCUC